GAUGAACGCUGGCGGCGUGCCUAAUACAUGCAAGUAGAGCGCACAGAUGAUACGCUUGCUCGUCAGACGAUAGCGGCGGACGGGUGAGUAACACGUGGAUACCCUACUUAUAAGACUGGGAUCACUUCGGGAAUCCGGAGAUCAUAACGGAUAAUCUAUUGAACUUCAUGGUUCAAUAGUGAAUGAUGGAUUUGCUGUCUCUUAUAGCUGGAUCCGCGCCGCAUUAGCUAGUUGGUAAGAUAACGGCUUACCAAGGCAACGAUGCGUAGCCGACCUGAGAGGUUGAUCGGCCAACCUGGAACUGGGAAACGGUCCAGACUCCUACGGGAGGAAGAAGUAGGGAAUCUUCCGCAAGGGGCGAAAGCUGGACGGAGCAACGCGGCGGGAGGGAUGAAGGUUUUCGGAUCGUAAAACUCUGUUAUUAGGGAGGAACAAAUGUGUAAGUAACUAUGCACGUCUUGACGGUACCUUAUCAGAAAGCCACGGCUAACUACGUG
This 497-nucleotide ribosomal RNA is filed under the name uncultured bacterium. Its description in RNAcentral is "partial 16S ribosomal RNA". It matches the Rfam family "Bacterial small subunit ribosomal RNA", at positions 28 to 507 of the family's 1533-position model. The record is from RNAcentral.